AACGCACAUUGCGCCCCUUGGUAUUCCAUGGGGCAUGCCUGUUCGAGCGUCAUUUGUACCCUCAAGCUUUGCUUGGUGUUGGGCGUCUUGUCUUUUCCUUUUGUGAUUAGACUCGCCUUAAAGUAAUUGGCAGCCAGUGUUUUUGGUAGUAAGCGCAGCACAUUUUGCGUCUUGGUCCCUAAACAGCGGCAUCCACAAAGCCUCUUUCUCACUUUUGACCUCGGAUCAGGUAGGGAUACCCGCUGAACUUAA
RNAcentral lists this unclassified non-coding RNA (252 nucleotides) under uncultured Pleosporales. RNAcentral's name for it is "sequence contains 5.8S rRNA gene, ITS2, 28S rRNA gene". The record is from RNAcentral. Lineage: Eukaryota; Fungi; Ascomycota; Dothideomycetes; Pleosporales.